UACGGAGGGGGCAAGCGUUGUUCGGAUUUACUGGGCGUAAAGGGUCCGUAGGCGGUUGCGUAAGUCUGGCGUGAAAUCUUCACCGCUCAACGGGAAGAGGCCGCUGGAAACUGCGCAACUUGAGUAUGGUAGAGGCAAGCGGAAUUCCUGGUGUAGCGGUGGAAUGUGUAGAUAUCAGGAAGAACAUCUGUGGCGAAGGCGGCUUGCUGGGCCAUUACUGACGCUGAGGGACGAAAGCGUGGGGAGCAAA
RNAcentral lists this ribosomal RNA (250 nucleotides) under uncultured bacterium. RNAcentral describes it as "partial 16S ribosomal RNA". It matches the Rfam family "Bacterial small subunit ribosomal RNA", at positions 524 to 772 of the family's 1533-position model. The record is from RNAcentral.